This 425-nucleotide ribosomal RNA is filed under the name uncultured bacterium. Its description in RNAcentral is "bacterial SSU rRNA". It matches the Rfam family "Bacterial small subunit ribosomal RNA", at positions 355 to 775 of the family's 1533-position model. The record is from RNAcentral.
UCGAGAAUUUUCUGCAAUGGGCGCAAGCCUGACAGAGCGACGCCGCGUGCGGGAUGAAGGCCUUCGGGUUGUAAACCGCUGUCAGUGGGGAGCAAAUUACCAGGGGUUCUCCCCUGGUAUUGAGCAAUCCGCAGAGGAAGCUCGGGCUAAGUUCGUGCCAGCAGCCGCGGUAAGACGAACCGAGCAAGCGUUAUUCGGAAUCACUGGGCUUAAAGAGUCCGUAGGCGGCGCGUUAGGUGGGGUGUGAAAUCCCUCGGCCCAACCGAGGAAUGGCGCUCCAAACCGGCGUGCUUGAGGAAGGUAGAGGUGAGCGGAACUGAUGGUGGAGCGGUGAAAUGCGUUGAUAUCAUCAGGAACACCGGAGGCGAAGGCGGCUCACUGGGCCUUUUCUGACGCUGAGGGACGAAAGCCAGGGUAGCGAACGG